RNAcentral lists this ribosomal RNA (398 nucleotides) under uncultured Mollicutes bacterium. RNAcentral's name for it is "bacterial SSU rRNA". It matches the Rfam family "Bacterial small subunit ribosomal RNA", at positions 980 to 1382 of the family's 1533-position model. The record is from RNAcentral. Lineage: Bacteria; Bacillati; Mycoplasmatota; Mollicutes.
CUUGACAUACCAUUGACAGGCGCAGAGAUGUGCUCUCCUUCGGCAAUGGAUACAGGUGGUGCAUGGUUGUCGUCAGCUCGUGCCGUGAGGUGUUGGGUUAAGUCCCGCAACGAGCGCAACCCUCAUUGUUAGUUACUACCAUUCAGUUGAGGACUCUAAUGAGACUGCCAACGAUAAGUUGGAGGAAGGUGGGGAUGACGUCAAAUCAUCAUGCCCUUUAUGACCUGGGCUACAAACGUACUACAAUGGCCAAUACAAAGAGAUGCGAAGCGGUGACGUGGAGCGAACCUCAGAAAGUUGGUCUCAGUUCAGAUUGAAGUCUGCAACUCGACUUCAUGAAGGCGGAAUCGCUAGUAAUCGCGGGUCAGCAGACCGCGGUGAAUACGUUCCCGGGUUUU